CUUCUCCUUCCAUGCUUCAUAUCUAUCGGCCAUGUUAUAUAAUUCUUCAGAUUGGUCAUAUCGUACAUUGUAAUUAUUGCGAGGGAAAUUUGGAUACCGCUCUCCUCUUCUAAAGGUAUUAUGUUGAUAAUUAUUCGGUCGUUCAUUGUAUCUUGCGUUGGGUCUGCUACAGUACGGCUGAAGCUCUUCCCAACUAAACGGAAACAAACUGAGGAACGGAUGCCUUAUGAACAGUAGUAGAGGGGCAGUGAUCUGCUCAUGCCCAUUGUUCUAGUUGUUCCACAGUACAGGUUACAAGAGUCUAUUUCAAGUUAAGAGAGUCAAGGAAGAUUCAUAAACACAAUAUGAACACAACAUAGCCGAAUUUUAUAACAAUAUCGUGUUUGGUCUCAUUUUAAUCGAGGAAGUCUUACCAAUAUGUUAAUGGAAUUUUUAUUAACAAAAAAUCAAAGAUAAAAAAAUUACAUUAUUGUAUUGAUAUUGUCUCACCGAUACGAAGGCAAUAUAAAUCUUAAAAGAGAAACCAUUACCGCGUCACAUUACUCGCAUCACUGAUUCAAUUGUAACCACCCCUAUUUUUCGGAUGAUUGAAUAAUAAUCAAAAAACAAAAAAACUGUUUUUGAAAUGUUGAAACACGUAAAUAAAAUCAUUAAAUUUGGGAUUUCUGUCAAAUAUUAGCAACUAAAUACGUGUACUUUUUCAUCAUUAUGAUAUUAAGUGUUUAAUGUUAAUUAUGUUUUCAUUGUUUAUUCUCUUUUUGUUAUUCGUCAUUCGAAUAAAUUUUGGUUGCUAAUUGGAAUAAGUUUAUAAACUGACAACUUACAAGCAGAAACAAUAACGUGGCGAUAAGCUGAUGGUGCCAUGGACUAGGAUUACGGAAAGGGAAAGGUUUUGCCGGGUCUUUGUAAAGUGCUAGUGUAAAUUGCUUGCUAAUUCGAGCCAAAUGGGCUUUCCCCAAAUGGGUUUUAUUGGGAACGGUUUUUGUAGGUACAAGUACAGGUACAAAUGUAGGUAACGAUAUUUGUAUAGAACCAUUUUUCACGUGACUGGGCCGGUUUAGCCUGCCAAUAAAAACAGUUACAUAUAAAUACAUUUUUUUUUUAUUUAGUUGUUUACAUUCACAAUUUGUCCGAUUUAGACAUUUGAUAGAAUUGAUAUAAAUACAUUGAAGCAAAUGUCCUUGGGUCGGUAUAACUUGCUAAGGAUAUCAGAGGUCAUCGUAGGCAAACAGACCCCAACAUUUAGAAAUUGCGAUGUCUAGCGUAUUCGGGUAUUCUUUGUAGAAUUAUUAAGCGAGUGAAUGGAAUAGACUAUCCUGCGCAUAUUCUACCAUCCUGGUUAAACGUGGCUUUUCAAAUAAAUCGGUAUGCAUUUAUAAUAAUAUCUAAAUUAUAUUCCCUUGAAUUCGCUUACAUAUUUGCCCAGUAUUUUUUAUUUCAUUCAGUUGGGAAACGUAUUAUACUCGUAAUUCUGUUGAUAUAGAAUAAGUUUGAGCAAAUGCACAAAUUGAACUCAAUCUCUUCGAUUUCAAUGGUAAUUUUUUUUAAUAUGUGACGAUUCCAAAUAACAUAUUCUUAUAUAUAUAACGAAUGCGGAAAACUGUAUUAAUUGCAAGAAUUUCAGGACACAAGUUUUGCGCAUGAGAAUACUAACUACUCCCUGUGGAAAGCAAUCAAAAAAACAGACAACACACAGGCUGGAAGCAACGAAGAGCGAGCUGAAAAAUUUUCCAGCCACCUUUGUGACACAUUUACUCCAUAUAAUAUUAACAACACUAACUCCAAGUGUCAUACAGACGUUGACGCAGGAAAUACUAGCAUCUCAACUAACAAGCACUACACCAUACCUAGUACAACAGCACAAAAAAUUAGAAUCAUAAUCAAGCACCAGGAAUCGACCUAAUCAAUGGUAAAAUCUUUAAAAACCUUCCCCUAAAAGCAAUACGAUUAAUGACAAUAACGUUCAAUGCAAUUUUAAGAAUUCAAUACUUUCCUACGAAAUACUUUCCUAUGAAAGCCUCUUACAAACAAUCAAAAAACAUUUCCCGGAACAUAUCUUCCACUUAUUCAAAUCAUACCUAAGCAAUGGAACCUUGGUAAUAAAAAUAAGGGACGGUUACUCUGAAGUUAAAGACCUCAAGGAAGGGGUGCCGCAAGGAAGCGUCUUAGGACCAAUGUUAUAUAUACUACACACGGCCAACAUGCCAACAACUAUCAACAGCCAAAUUCUGAUAUUCGAGGACGUUUACCGAAUGUCCAGCUGGACAAAUUGUAAAACACAAACUAAAAAUAAAAAAAAACAAGUUUUGCAAUUAUACAGAUGUAGAAACGACUCUAUUUCUGAAAAUUGAGAUCUUAAAUGCCGAACUUAGAAAAUGAUAUUGAGGAUAAAAGAGAUAGAGGGACCGAGGGAGUUGAAAGACAAAACUUCCGGAAACAUGUCGGAGAUGGAAGGACAUCGGACCUUCCCCUGGAACUCCGGGAAAAUCCGUAAAAUCGUAAUUAAAGUUUACAGUUGUAAUUAAACAAUUUGCUGUCAUUCUGCCCAAUUGUACUUGUUUGCGAUUUGUGAUAAUAAACUUGGGCUCAAGGCGACCAUCAGUCGCCGAACGUAGCCACGGUCAACGGGACGGGCUCUCCGUCUAACAAAGGUGCGGAGCGGUGUUAUGACCCUCAUUAAAGGAUCUACCCAUAGAGGUAUCGGACAGUAAAAUAUGCUAAUGGUUCCUUAGGACAAUGAAUACCUGAUGUUGAGGCACGUACAUAGCACAAGUCUGGUUAGCCCGAGGACCCGCCAUAAAACCUGGGUUUUUCGGCAAUUAAGAUUUGUGCAAACGGACAGGCACCUUUUGUCUGAAAUCGAUCAAUCGACAGCGACGUCGAUCCCAGGAUCUUGUACUUAGACACCCUACCAUAGCUGGCCUCGGUAGCGUCAUUGGGACGAGAAUUCAUUCUUUCUCGAGAUCUCAUCGGCGAAGGGAGUAGUACACGUUUGAGUUAGAGCAAGUAUACCUACCCUCCCGUUGACCGUGGAUUCGUUAUCGAAUCUAAGACCAUUAUCACUAGUGUCCCGAGUGCCUAAUCGCCGCUGUUGAUUGUCGAAUCGGUAGUGUUCAUACUCGUUGUAUCAGGCCGUAUCUUCGUUAUAACACAACGCUGGCCAACUCCAAGAGAGGUCUAUCAAACGCCUACAACCCUGUUCCUCACUCUUCUCCGACACAUAUAAAGGCCCAAAGACAUAUAAAGACAAACUGAGAUCUUUGAGUCAUAGCUUAAACAAUCUUUCCUUUUUCUUAUUUGUGAUAGUUAAGAAAUGCAAGCGACUAAAUUUAUGAUACAACAUUUUAUGUUUAGUUCGCAAUUCAGCUAAUUUACUUAGCAGGCCGGCCUACAGUUUACAGGGGUCACUUAGUGAAAAUUCGUUUGUUAGGGAUCGGUCAUUAUUCAUUUCCUUGCUAGCAAAAUAUUAUAAAGCCUAAUUGGUUUAGCCUACGGGCCUAACGGUUUUCGUUUUCUUGUAAUCCCAGAUUUUAAGCUGGCAAAAUCACUCUGUUAUUAAGCCGCCGUUUACUAGCGACCAGUUUCUUUAUCCCAGUAAGUAAUUAGUUUUAUUAGUCGGCACAAAACGGUGCAAACGCCAACCAACCUCGAAAAAUCACAACAUUCGAUCAACCACAGGGAAUAAACAGUGAUGAAUGAAACUUUUACCACCAUAUUUGUUACAUUUUUCUAAUUAAAAUAAAACCAAACACCAUAUAAUUUGGAGCACAUUUGCUUACUUAAUAAAUAAAAAUUGAAUACAUUUUCUCAACGCGAGAAUUGAUUGUAAUUUUAAUAAAUAAAUAAAAAAAAAAUACAUAUCAAUCAGGAAAUGUAAUUCAAAGUAUAUCGUAUUUGGUUUUCUUUUAUUCAGGAAGAUCUCACACACACGUUAAUAAAAGUUUAAUUUAGAAAAAGUAAAAAAUAAAGAAGUUUUAUUUUUGAAUUUAUAUUUACAUACUUUGUCUCAAGGAUGUCUGACAUUGGAUCAUGUUAAAUUGUUACGAGGAUAUACGCAAAGACUUAAAACUACCAACGGUCAAAGAAAAAAUCGGCAGGUACGCAAAAAAAUACAAGGAAAGGACGGCAACACAUCCAAACCAGCUGGCUGCUGAAGCGAGCAAAACUCUCAUAGAAAGAAGACUAAAAAGAAAAAACCCCGCUGACCUUACUAAA
Molecule: long non-coding RNA, 4215 nt
Organism: Bombus huntii
Lineage: Eukaryota; Metazoa; Arthropoda; Insecta; Hymenoptera; Apidae
Exons: 4
Source: RefSeq, a predicted model, not a curated record